Molecule: non-coding RNA, 74 nt
Organism: Pangasianodon gigas (Mekong giant catfish)
Lineage: Eukaryota; Metazoa; Chordata; Actinopteri; Siluriformes; Pangasiidae
Source: the annotation of a GenBank genome assembly
UGAAGAUCCCUGAGCCAUUCACAGCCCCUGUGAUGAGGGACACUCCUCCCAUCAGUCCCACCUCUGACUUUAGC